GACAAUGGGCGAAAGCCUGAUCCAGCAAUGCCGCGUGUGUGAAGAAGGCCUUCGGGUUGUAAAGCACUUUUGUCCGGAAAGAAAUCCUUGGCUCUAAUACAGUCGGGGGAUGACGGUACCGGAAGAAUAAGCACCGGCUAACUACGUGCCAGCAGCCGCGGUAAUACGUAGGGUGCGAGCGUUAAUCGGAAUUACUGGGCGUAAAGCGUGCGCAGGCGGUUUGCUAAGACCGAUGUGAAAUCCCCGGGCUCAACCUGGGAACUGCAUUGGUGACUGGCAGGCUAGAGUAUGGCAGAGGGGGGUAGAAUUCCACGUGUAGCAGUGAAAUGCGUAGAGAUGUGGAGGAAUACCGAUGGCGAAGGCAGCCCCCUGGGCCAAUACUGACACUCAUGCACGAAAGCGUGGGGAGCAAACAGGAUUAGAUACCCUGGUAGUCCACGCCCUAAACGAUGUCAACUAGUUGUUGGGGAUUCAUUUCCUUAGUAACGUAGCUAACGCGUGAAGUUGACCGCCUGGGGAGUACGGUCGCAAGAUUAAAACUCAAAGGAAUUGACGGGGACCCGCACAAGCGGUGGAUGAUGUGGAUUAAUUCGAUGCAACGCGAAAAACCUUACCUACCCUUGACAUGGUCGGAAUCCCGCUGAGAGGUGGGAGUGCUCGAAAGAGAACCGGCGCACAGGUGCUGCAUGGCUGUCGUCAGCUCGUGUCGUGAGAUGUUGGGUUAAGUCCCGCAACGAGCGCAACCCUUGUCCUUAGUUGCUACGCAAGAGCACUCUAAGGAGACUGCCGGUGACAAACCGGAGGAAGGUGGGGAUGACGUCAAGUCCUCAUGGCCCUUAUGGGUAGGGCUUCACACGUCAUACAAUGGUCGGAACAGAGGGUUGCCAACCCGCGAGGGGGAGCUAAUCCCAGAAAACCGAUCGUAGUCCGGAUUGCACUCUGCAACUCGAGUGCAUGAAGCUGGAAUCGCUAGUAAUCGCGGAUCAGCAUGCCGCAGUGAAUACGUUCCCGGGCCUUGUACACACCGC
RNAcentral lists this ribosomal RNA (1028 nucleotides) under uncultured Burkholderia sp. RNAcentral's name for it is "bacterial SSU rRNA". It matches the Rfam family "Bacterial small subunit ribosomal RNA", at positions 367 to 1393 of the family's 1533-position model. The record is from RNAcentral. Lineage: Bacteria; Pseudomonadati; Pseudomonadota; Betaproteobacteria; Burkholderiales; Burkholderiaceae.